This 1385-nucleotide long non-coding RNA is filed under the name Delphinapterus leucas (beluga whale). RNAcentral's name for it is "lncRNA (ENSDLEG00000016403.1)". The record is from RNAcentral. Lineage: Eukaryota; Metazoa; Chordata; Mammalia; Artiodactyla; Monodontidae.
GGGGGGCGACUGAAUGAAGGGGACAGAUUUUUAAAGCCACCCAUGAGUUUGAGAAAUUUCAGUUUCUGUUCCUCAUUUUCAAAGCCAGCAGUAUCCCAUUGGCCAAACUGAGUUCCCGUCUGCUUCAUGGUGUCAGAAGCUUCUGUCCUGCCCGACUCACGAUCGAUCUCUUCUUGCAAGGCCUUUCGCCUCACCUGGUCUAUGUGCGCCUUGUCCAUGUUGCCCUUCUUUUCCAACACUACCUCCAAGUCCGUGUCUGGCUGCUCCUCCCAAGGUUCUCCUGCUACUCUGCUCUCCUGCCUCUUCUUCCUCUUCAGAGCUGGCUCCUCAGUGUCUGCCUGCUCUGCCUUUUUCUUGGACUUCAUUUUCUUCUUCACAGGGGACUUGGGGUCAUCUCCUAUUGGGAUGUAUUCUGGAGCUUCAACUUUGACUGACUUCUUUUUACUUCCUUUCCUACGGCUGCUCUCUACAGACCUGGAGAGCUCAGAGUGCCCCAGGGGGAUAUCUCCCUCCUGGUGGAUUUUCUUUUUCUUCUUCAACUUCAUGUUGUGUUCCCUGGGGCUCCCCUGCUUCCAUUUCUGUCCCGAGGCUGCCUGCUCAGGGACGCCACCUUUCCCAGCUGAGCAAGUGUACAAAGCAUCCCUGGCCUCACAGAACCAAGGGUCCCUGGCUGAGAAGGCUGUAGCUCCCUGCGCCUUCUUCUCCUUCUUGUGUUUUUUGAGCUUCUUACCAGCUCUGGUCACCCCCUCACCCUGCCUGGGGUCUGGGGAAGUCUUCACCCUUGAGCCAGGGGCAAGGACUUUCUCUUCUUCUUUUCCCUACCGAGGGACUCAGAUGGACCAAGUGCCUGCUUCCUGGGGCUGGGCGAUGGCUCAAUCUGUCUGGCACGUAACAUGGUCUCAGGUUCUAGGGGCUCCUCGCAGACGGUGCUGUGACCCUUCUUUUUCUUCAUUAGAGGCAUUUUGGGUGCCUGCUCUUGGACCAUAUUCUUCGAGGGUGAUGUGGCUCUUGUGGGACAAGCCUCCGCAAAAUAACUGUCACUGUUUAAAAUCGAGUGUUGAGUCUCUGGUUCUUUAACUACCUUCUUUUUCUUCUUCUUCUUUUUCACUGGGAGCCCAAGGCCCAGGUCUCCCUUGUGAGUCUUAGUGAUCAUUCCCAAAGGCCAAACUUCCCCGCCUCCACGUGAGAGCCCGUUCCGCCGUCCAAAGUAAUUAUUGAUAGGUAAGGGUGUACUAUUGUCAUUUGUUGUUUUGUUUUUGGGUUUUUUGGUAGAUUCUUUGUUUCUUCUUAUCCUGCUGGUUUCUUUCGUGAUUAGAUGACUUUCAUUAUCUGUAUUUUGACUUUUUAUUAUAUUCUUUUUGUAUAAUUACUACAUGUUUUCCCCC